GAAACUUUAAACACGAAACCAACUUCAGUAGGAUACUAGCGAUCCGAAACAGAUCGAAGAACCUAAGACCUUAGCUAACAAACCCGCGUUAACAAGAUACUAGUUAUUCCAAACAACAAUCAGAAGCACGAACUUCACAAAAAUGUAUGGUCCUUAAGACCUCAACAACAAACAAAGCCAGCAACCAUGAUUAUACACAACAUAGCUAUACGGCUAAAAUGCUACAGCAGCAUCGCUUAGAAGAAUAAAGAAAAAGAAGAACGCAUUUUGAAACCAAAAGAGAUGAAGGGUUACCUGCUUCGGGGCAGCAAAACAGGACUCCCAAGCUAAUAUUAGACUCCAACACCACCGAAAAUCGGACCCUCUAGAAUGAUGAGUAAUUGACAACUCGAAAUAAACUUAUUGGAAAAUCAAAGUUUUACUGCGUUUUCUUCUUCCCCUCCCAGACCCUAAAGAAACAUGUUUCCAACCUAGAUUUAAACAGUAACCCCUUUCCCAAAGAAAGAUCUCCCCAAGCUUCUAACUCCAGAAACUUUUAUUCAAAUUUUCGAACCGUCGCCUCUUCGAGAAAAGAACCCCCAGAAAACCUCUCCAAAUCCCUUACUUUGAAUCAAAAUCGACCCAAACCCUAAAUUUCUCCACUCUUAGAACCUUAGAGCUCCCAGAAAAAUCCUCCUCUUCAGACCCUAAAGAGAGCUAUUUAUAGAAGGGGGGGUUGAGGGUUCGUUUUGAAUCCUCACAAAUCGCACCCCUAUUGUUCUUCUUGAACGGAUUUUCAACAGAUGGCCAACAACCAUUGGGGCAAAAUGAACGAAUGAAAAUUUGCCGAACAGGUAUGAAUCCGAAAAUCACGGAAUUCGGACGUUGGGGGUAACACCUCACUCUCUUUCUAGAAGAUUUCGUACCAAAAUCAUGUGGGAAAGCACGCGACUGUGAAGAGGAAGCAGAAAACGGGUUGAGAUAAGGGGAAUCGGGGGGGAAAUAGGUUGGGGUUUUGCAUGGUUGUUUUCGCAUUGCUGUUGGUGUAGCUUGUACGCGGUUUUUGUCGUGGCUGUUGUUUGUUUUUGGUGAGCUAUAAGCAGCUUUUGCUUAUUGAAGAAGAAAGGAUUAAAUGGUGUGGGCCGGGUAGGUUUUGUAGAUGUUUGUGCUGUUGAAAUUCGGGGCUAAUUUGGCAAAGUCAAAAGGAAAUUGGGCUUGGGCUUGUUAAUUUGAAGAGUGGCUUGGCAAUUUAAAAACUGAAAUUGAGGUUAUUAUAACACACCAAUUUGGCCUGAAAAUGCCCCGUUUAUGCCGUUUUACCCAUUUGACUACCCAAAAUAUCCUUGAAUAAAUAAAAAAAACCACACUGCGACGAUCCCCAACCUCUCUGGCAUACCCCGGUUGAUUUUUGGCCCACGUCACCCCCAAACCCUAGGCUACCCCCGAAGUCGUAGGCUUUAGCUUGAAUACACCCGUUUGCAUCGUUUGACCACCCAAAUGGCCUCGAAUAAAUAAACGAACCCUGGCAUCCUCAGUCAAUUCUUCACCCACGACACCUAUUUUGCGGAGAAAUUUUGACUUUUUGAGAAGAGUUACCACUUAAUUUUAAAAAAAAAUUAAGAAACCUGUAAAGAGUUACUUCAAACGAUCUAAAACCAAAAAAUCAUUUAAGUUAAGAGAUUCUGAAUAAGCGGUUCUUAUUAACGUUUUAGGAAGGUGUUAGGCACCUAAAAUGUCUUCGAUUAACUUCUGAAAUUUGAUUCAUUGAAAAAUGGUUGGUUUGCAAAAAAUUAAGUUUUAGCAAAUUCAUUAGGGGAUUUAACUAGGUUCGUAAAAGGCAUGCAAAACAAAUAAUCAAAAAGAAAGGGGAAGAGAGGAGAAGUAAUGAUUUAGGAUUUGAAGCCCAAACUAUUAAGCCUGUCCUAAUCUAGUUGGGUUUUCAACCUAUUUUUCCUCUCACCUGUCCUAUUUCUAUGUUUUCUGGCCCUUUGGCUCGAGUUUUCACUUUACCUGUAUUAAAUACAACUUUGGCUUCGAGGCCCAAAUGAAUGAAAAAUGAAUAAACAAAAUAAAAUAAAUAAUAAAUAAUAAAAAAACAACAACACUAAUUAAACAAAAUGAAAUAAUAAAUGAGACUUUUGUCACUUAGCCGCUUCAAAUACGGGACUUUAACCCGUUCCUUUUCUUUCGACUCUUUGUAUUUGCGCGCUAUUUAUCCGGCUUUGGGCUCUUUUUCUGGAUUGACCCAACAAGAUGGGCCUCACUGGCCCAUGAUGAAUGUGCAAGAGGGAGAGAGUUCAUGUAGGACUCAGUCGAAAGUAGGAGAGAUUAAUGUGCAGGCCCGAAGCGCAGUACACCAUACAGAUAUCCAACACAACAAAUCAAUAACAAAAGACAUGGAAUUAUUGUAAUUUUAAACAACAUAGCAAAUAGUAUGCAAAAGUAUAGAAAGUAAAAGAAACGCAAUUAUGGCUAGCACCAAUAUAUAAAUGAAACAUUUAAGACUACAUUUGUAAGAAUACUCAUAAACAGGAAUAAGCAAAUAAGGAGACGUACAAUAGAAUUGGGAAUUUAAAAUAAAUCUCUUAAGCGACCUAUUCAUAACACUAGUUGGGGAAAGAGCCAUUCUUUUCAGAGAGAUAAACCAGAGCCCCUCCCUGUACAAUUUCUUCAAAAAGGAUACAACUCCUAAACAUACCAUACCAAAAAUCGGAUAGCUUGGAACAGCGAACAACGAAAUACAAUAAUGACUUACUUAAGAAAGAGUGAAUGAAACUUGACAUAAGAGUUGUUCAAACAAGCCAAGACUCAAUAAGUUUGGAAGUUGAAGAAUAAGCAUAUUUGCACUACAGUGAGCAAGUAAGUAGCAGACCCCUGAGCAGCUAAGAAGGUCUUAAUAAUUAUCAAUCGAAUCGAAACAUGAAACUUUAAUCACAAAAGUCAGGUAAAAAAAAAUAAUUCCAACAGCCUGAAACUUUAAACACGAAACCAACUUCAGUAGGAUACUAGCGAUCCGAAACAGAUCGAAGAACCUAAGACCUUAGCUAACAAACCCGCGUUAACAAGAUACCAGUUAUUCCAAACAACAAUCAGAAGCACGAACUUCACAAAAAUGUAUGGUCUUUAAGACCUCAACAACCAACAACGCCAGCAACCACGAUUAUACACAACAUAGCUAUACGGCUAAAAUGCUACAGCAGCAUCGCUUAGAAGAAUAAAGAAAAAGAAGAACGCAUUUUGAAACCAAAAGAGAUGAAGGGUUACCUGCUUCGGGGCAGCAAAACAGGACUCCCAAGCUAAUAUUAGACUCCAACACCACCGAAAAUCGGACCCUCUAGAAUGAUGAGUAAUUGACAACUCGAAAUAAACUUAUUGGAAAAUCAAAGUUUUACUGCGUUUUCUUCUUCCCCUCCCAGACCCUAAAGAAACAUGUUUCCAACCUAGAUUUAAACAGUAACCCCUUUCCCAAAGAAAGAUCUCCCCAAGCUUCUAACUCCAGAAACUUUUAUUCAAAUUUUCGAACCGUCGCCUCUUCGAGAAAAGAACCCCCAGAAAACCUCUCCAAAUCCCUUACUUUGAAUCAAAAUCGACCCAAACCCUAAAUUUCUCCACUCUUAGAACCUUAGAGCUCCCAGAAAAAUCCUCCUCUUCAGACCCUAAAGAGAGCUAUUUAUAGAAGGGGGGGUUGAGGGUUCGUUUUGAAUCCUCACAAAUCGCACCCCUAUUGUUCUUCUUGAACGGAUUUUCAACAGAUGGCCAACAACCAUUGGGGCAAAAUGAACGAAUGAAAAUUUGCCGAACAGGUAUGAAUCCGAAAAUCACGGAAUUCGGACGUUGGGGGUAACACCUCACUCUCUUUCUAGAAGAUUUCGUACCAAAAUCAUGUGGGAAAGCACGCGACUGUGAAGAGGAAGCAGAAAACGGGUUGAGAUAAGGGGAAUCGGGGGGGAAAUAGGUUGGGGUUUUGCAUGGUUGUUUUCGCAUUGCUGUUGGUGUAGCUUGUACGCGGUUUUUGUCGUGGCUGUUGUUUGUUUUUGGUGAGCUAUAAGCAGCUUUUGCUUAUUGAAGAAGAAAGGAUUAAAUGGUGUGGGCCGGGUAGGUUUUGUAGAUGUUUGUGCUGUUGAAAUUCGGG
RNAcentral lists this long non-coding RNA (4111 nucleotides) under Capsicum annuum. Its description in RNAcentral is "long non-coding RNA (CANN_LNC022462)". The record is from RNAcentral. Lineage: Eukaryota; Viridiplantae; Streptophyta; Magnoliopsida; Solanales; Solanaceae.